Molecule: long non-coding RNA, 1260 nt
Filed under: Callithrix jacchus (white-tufted-ear marmoset)
Lineage: Eukaryota; Metazoa; Chordata; Mammalia; Primates; Cebidae
Description: lncRNA (ENSCJAG00000059956.2)
Source: RNAcentral
AUGCCUGUAGAGCUGGGCCAGGCUCGCUGGAAAAAUACAGAACUUUCCUUGGAGGCUGGACCGGGAGGUGCUGAGGCAGGAGGCAGGAAGGAGGAAGGAGGAAGGAGGAGGGUCUGGUGUGUGGGGGCCCGGAAUGAACAGGCUGCCUGUUCCAGGGACAGGGACGCAGCAGCACAGAGCCUGCCAAAGGGAGAAGAGGAAGACAGGAGGGAGGGAGCAGGGCGGGGGGCCCAGAAAGAAAAUGUUCCUGCAGCCCCAGGAGCCGGGGAGGCUGCGGAGGGAGGGGCUUGGAGGCCCCUCGGCCCAUCCACCUUCCACACAUUGCCCACUGGUCCCUGGCCAUCAGCUUCAUCUUCUGUACCAGUGCCGGAGCCAGCCCACACCUUGGGGCCCCUCUCAUCCCUCAGGGCCUUUCCCGGCCCUUGGUGCCACCAAGCACUGUGCCCAGCACUGAUCGGGUCUCCCGAGACCCCUGCCCCAUUCCACCCUGGCCCCUUCCAGAGGCCUCACAGAGGCUGUCUGAGGCUGUCUGAAGCCUCCCGCAGGAGGCUUGAUGGACGAGGACCACCACCUCUGUCACUUGCCCACUCUGCAGGCUGGGGCAGGAGUAAGGACCCCUGUGGAAGCCAAGGUGAGGGCGUCUCCCUGAGCGGCCAAACAGGAGCAGCUGCAUCCAGAUCUCCUCUGCCCCCUACUUUCCCACCUCAUCCUUUCUGCCUCCUGGGUCUCUCCCCAGACUCAGCCCUAACCUGCUGUGUGACGCCCAUGCUCUGGAGGCAGACUGGGACCCUCACCCACAGCUCUGCUCUCUGCCUCCCCUGGCCUGUCCCCACUGCUGGUGGCCCUCAGGACAGGGAUGGCAGGGCUCAGGUGUCCUCGAAGCUGCCUGGACCCAGAUCCACCCUCUGCCAGCUGCCCCCGAAACACGCCACCAGGUCUGUGCCACCACCACAGGGCAACACCAGGGUGGGCGCUGGACACGCUUCCGGAGACAGAGGAGGUAGACAGGGCGAGGAAGCCUCCAGAACUCCUCUUGAGGAGGCGAGGGUGGGACCCCCUGGCCACUUCUCAGGCUCCAGAGUGGCACUGAUGAGAGGCUCUGGCAGGAGCGGCUGGGAGAACCCUCACCAGACCAGGUGGCCCGAGGCCAAGGACGAGGCUCCCAUAGCUCCUGGCUGGCCCUCGAGGCCCUGGCAUUGCCACCUACUUCACAGAUGGAAAGCUGAGGCUCAGGUGAGCAGCUGCCCGUUUCCUGACUAG